Molecule: ribosomal RNA, 1107 nt
Filed under: uncultured bacterium
Lineage: Bacteria
Description: bacterial SSU rRNA
Rfam family: Bacterial small subunit ribosomal RNA
Source: RNAcentral
AAAGAAAAAAGAAAUUCAUGUACGCAAAUAGUGAUAACACAUUUUAGCGGAGUGAUGAGUGCUGGAUAAAUUGCUAGCGGCGGACGGGUGCGUAACACUGGGUAACCUGCCCCUAUCACUGGGAUAACACACUGAAAAGUGUGUAAUACCAGAUAAUAUAAGCUUUUGGCAUCAUUAGCUUAUCAAAGAAUUUCGGAUAGGGAUGGGCCCGCGUCUGAUUAGCUUGUUGGUGAGGUAACGGCUCACCAAGGCGACGAUCAGUAGCCGACCUGAGAGGGUGAUCGGCCACACUGGAACUGAGACACGGUCCAGACUCCUACGGGAGGCAGCAGUGGGGAAUAUGCACAAUGGGCGAAAGCCUGAUGCGCAACGCCGCGUGAGCGAUGAAGGCCUUCGGGUCGUAAAGCUCUGUCCUAUGGGAAGAAAUAAUGACGGUACCAUAGGAGGAAGCCCCGGCUAACUACGUGCCAGCAGCCGCGGUAAUACGUAGGGGGCAAGCGUUAUCCGGAAUUACUGGGCUAAAGGGUGCGUAGGCGGUUUAUCAAGUCAGGGGUGAAAGGCUACGGCUCAACCGUAGUGAGCCUCUGAAACUGGUGAAUUGAGUGUAGGAGAGGAAAGUGGAAUUCCCAGUGUAGCGGUGAAAUGCGUAGAUAUUGGGAGGAACACCAGUGGCGAAAGGCGAAACUUUCUGGAACAACUGACGCUGAGGCACGAAAGCGUGGGGACGCGCAAACAGGAUUAGAUACCCUGGUAGUCCACGCCGUAAACGAUGAGUGCUAAGUGUUGGAGGGUUUCCGCCCUUCAGUGCUGCAGCUAACGCAUUAAGCACUCCGCCUGGGGAGUACGACCGCAAGGUUGAAACUCAAGGAAUUGACGGGGACCCGCACAAGCGGUGGAGCAUGUGGUUUAAUUCGAAGCAACGCGAAGAACCUUACCAGGUCUUGACAUCCUUUGACCACUCUAGAGAUAGAGCUUUCCCUUCGGGACAAAGUGACAGGUGGUGCAUGGUUGUCGUCAGCUCGUGUCGUGAGAUGUUGGGUUAAGUCCCGCAACGAGCGCAACCCCUAUUAUUAGUUGCCAGCAUUCAGUUGGGCACUCUAGUGAGAC